AGAGCGCAGGGAGGAUGCCUUGGCAUCAGGAGCCGAAGAAGGACGUGGUAAGCUGCGAAAAGCUACGGGGAUUGGCAAGCACGAUAUGAUCCGUAGAUGUCCGAAUGGAGCAAUCCACAUGGAGUCAAGUCCAUGUAUCAUAUACUGAAUAAAUAGGUAUAUGAGGGGAACCGCCCGAACUGAAACAUCUAAGUAGGGCGAGGAAAAGAAAUCAACCGAGAUUCUGUGAGUAGUGGCGAGCGAAAGCGGAAGAGGCUAAACCGAGAGGAGCAAUCCUUUCGGGGUUUAGGACUGCAUUUAGUACAAUGAUUGUUAACCGAACAGCAUGGGAAGGCUGAUCAGAGAAGGUGAGAAUCCUGUAGGUGAAAACGAAAGUUGACGAGCAGUAUCCGAAGUACCGCGGGGCACGUGAAAUCCCGUGGGAAGAUGGGGGGACCAUCCUCCAAGCCUAAAUACUACCUGAUGACCGAUAGCGAAAAGUACUGUGAAGGAAAGGUGAAAAGCACCCCGGGAGGGGAGUGAAAGAGAACCUGAAACCCUGUGCCUACAAGCACCUAGAGCACGUCAAUGUGUGAUAGGGUACUUUUUGUAGAACGGUCCGGCGAGCGAUUGUAUGCAGCAAGGUUAAGGACUUAAGGUCUGGAGCCGAAGCGAAAGCGAGUUUGAAAAGGGCGUUAAGUUGCAUAUAAUGGGCCCGAAACCGGGUGACCUACCCAUGGUCAGGUUGAAGUGGAAGUAAAAUUCCAUGGAGGACCGAACCGACCUCCGUUGAAAAGGCGGCGGAUGAACUGUGGGUAGCGGAGAAAUUCCAAUCGAACCCGGAGAUAGCUGGUUCUCCCCGAAAUAGUUUUAGGACUAGCCUCAAGUUAGAUACCUGGAGGUAAAGCACUGAAUAGCCUAGCGGCCGAGAGGUUAGCGAAGCUUAUCAAACUCAGAAUGCCAGAGUAUUGAUGCUUGGGAGUCAGACAGUGUCAGAUAAAUGUCAUUGUCAAAAGGGAAACAGCCCAGAUCUACAGCUAAGGUCCCAAAGUCAGGUUAAGUGGAAAACGAUGUGAAGAUACGCAGACAACCAGGAUGUUGGCUCAGAAGCAGCCACUCAUUCAAAGAGUGCGUAAUAGCUCACUGGUCGAGCGUCUUUGCGCGGAGAAUUUAACGGGGCUAAACCUGACACCGAAGCUUAGGCAAUACAGCAAUGUAUUGGGUAGGGGAGCGUUGUAUACGCGGUGAAACAGUAGCGCAAGCGGCUGUGGAGUGUAUAGAAGUGAGAAUGCCGGAAUGAGUAGCGCGAAUGCAGUGAGAAUCUGCAUGGCCGAAAGCCUCAGGUUUCUGGAGGAAGGUUCGUCCGCUCCAGGUUAGUCGGGAGCUAAGGUGAGGCCUAACGGCGUAGCCGAUGCACAGACGGUAGAGAUUCCGUCACCACCAAAAGAGUUAAGCACAGGGACACAUUUGAAGUCUCAGAGCCGGGUGUUGGUUCCGGUAGAGAUCGAGGGAAGUUAGUACCGAAGUCUGAGAUGGAAGAUGGCGAGAAAAGCUGUGUGUAUUUCUGAGGUGCCCGUACCGCAAACCGACACAGGUAGGUAGGAAGAAGAUUCUAAGGCCAACGGGAGAAGGGUUGUUAAGGAACUCGGCAAAUUGACCCCGUAACUUCGGGAGAAGGGGUGCUCCAGAGAUGGAGCCGCAGAGAAUCGGCCCAAGCAACUGUUUACCAAAAACACAGGUUUGUGCUAAAUCGAAAGAUGACGUAUACGAGCUGACGCCUGCCCGGUGCUGGAAGGUUAAAAGGAGAUGUGCAAGCAUUGAAUUGAAGCCCCAGUGAACGGCGGCCGUAACUAUAACGGUCCUAAGGUAGCGAAAUUCCUUGUCAGGUAAGUUCUGACCCGCACGAAAGGCGUAAUGAUCUGGGUACUGUCUCAACCAUAGACUCGGUGAAAUCUUAAUACCUGUGAAAAUGCAGGUUACCCGCGACUGGACGGAAAGACCCCGUGGAGCUUUACUGUAGCUUGAUAUUGGAAUUCGGUAAACUAUGUAGAGCAUAGGUGGGAGACUAUGAGAUUAAGGCGCCAGCCUUAAAGGAGUCACCAUUGGAAUACCACCCUUAGUUUAUUGGAUUUCUAACCUAGGACCAUAAUCUGGUUCAGGGACAGUGUCUGGUGGGCAGUUUGACUGGGGCGGUCGCCUCCUAAAGAGUAACGGAGGCGUUCAAAGGUUCCCUCAGAAUGGUUGGAAAUCAUUCAAAGAGCAUAAAGGUAUAAAGGGAGCUUGACUGCAAGACCUACAAGUCAAGCAGGUGCGAAAGCAGGACUUAGUGAUCAGGCGAUUCAGAAUGGAAUGGUCGUCGCUUAACGGAUAAAAGUUACCCCGGGGAUAACAGGCUGAUACCACCCAAUAGUUCACAUAGACGGUGGUGUUUGGCACCUCGAUGUCGGCUCGUCAUAUCCUGGAGGUGGAGUCGCUUCCAAGGGUUGGGCUGUUCGCCCAUUAAAAUGGCACGCGAGCUGGGUUCAGAACGUCGUGAGACAGUUCGGUCCCUAUCCGUCGUGGGCGCAGGAAAAUUGAGGAGAGCUAUCCUUAGUACGAGAGGACCGGGAUGGACCUACCUCUGGUGUAUCUGUUGUCACGCCAGUGGCAGUGCAGAGUAGCUAUGUAGGGAAGGGAUAAACGCUGAAAGCAUCUAAGCGUGAAGCCCUCUCCAAGAUGAGUUUUCCCAUUGU
RNAcentral lists this ribosomal RNA (2711 nucleotides) under human gut metagenome. RNAcentral describes it as "bacterial LSU rRNA". It matches the Rfam family "Bacterial large subunit ribosomal RNA". The record is from RNAcentral.